AUCCUAGAACAUCCCUCGCUUUCUUCACGCGUCCUUAUUGACUCUACAAUCCCAAAAAAAUGCACAGCCCUGGGGCUGGCUGCCCUUGGCUGCCCUUGCACUGCUGAUGCUGCCCUGGACCGAGGACCAGCAGCGAGGAAGGGCUGCGAGAAGCCAGGAACGGAUGAGGAGAGGUCCCAGACACCCAGAAACCGAAACAAAUUCCCAGCAAGAAAUCCAGGGGGGCCGUUGGGACGGGAGGGGGGAAGCUGGGAUGGGAAGAGCAGGAAGCGUGCCUCAGGGCCGAGCUGUCUCGGGCUGCAGGAGCCGGGGCAGCGGCUGAGGCUGGAAGCAUUUCAGAAGGUUUGUGUUUGGCGGAGCCGGCGGCUGGAACAGAGCUUGCUGGCAAAGCCCCCGGGCUGGCUGGGGAGAGCAACAUCUCCGGCGCUCCUCCACGAGCUCCGUGGCCAGAGCGGUGAGCCCCCUGCUUCCCUCGGCACCAGGCGCAGCCCCUGCCCUGUUUUCCAAGGGAAAAAAAUAAAUCCCUGGAAAGCCUUUCCUCCCGCACAGGCACACACAGACCCCUCUGUCUGCGGCAGGCAGCAGCUGCCUUCGGGGGACGAGCCCCUGCACACACGCAGCUCCGCCUGGCGUGCUUUAUCGCCGUGUCAGCUGGAGGUUACGCGCUGCUGCAGGCACCGCCGAGCCCGCCGAAGGCCAAAAGGGCUUCGGGUCCGUCUCCCCCUCCCCUUUCCAACCGCGCUGCUGCUUAUUCUUCGCUCCCUUCCCUGGCUGCUGCUGUCGGUGUGGCCGAGCGCGGUGCUUCUCAGCGGUGGCGGGCCUUGGCCCUCCGCCAAGGUCCAUCCCUGGAGGGGGGGAUGUGGGGAGAGCUUUGAAAAAUUCAAUCUCUCUGGAGCUGCUGGGGCUGCCAACGCCACCACGCUGCCUGACCUCGGGGUAAACUCGGCGGAAGAGGAGCAGAAGCGGCGGCUGGCACGGUGCUGGCCUGGGAUAACUCCUGGGGAAGAGGCGGCGCGGAGCGGGAAGGCGAUGGGGGGCUGCUGCCCUGCGGGGGGGCUUCGAGGCCUCCUGGGAGCAGCACACAAUGCUCUUGCCGGGGUUUUAAACGGGAAUCUAAGCAGCAAGGAAAUGGCAUUGCACAGGGUAGGGCUGGAGCACUGCUCCUGGUGCUGUCCCCCACGUACCCGGUAA
This 1191-nucleotide long non-coding RNA is filed under the name Anas platyrhynchos platyrhynchos (common mallard). RNAcentral's name for it is "lncRNA (ENSAPLG00000019843.1)". The record is from RNAcentral. Lineage: Eukaryota; Metazoa; Chordata; Aves; Anseriformes; Anatidae.